This 253-nucleotide ribosomal RNA is filed under the name uncultured bacterium. RNAcentral describes it as "partial 16S ribosomal RNA". It matches the Rfam family "Bacterial small subunit ribosomal RNA", at positions 524 to 776 of the family's 1533-position model. The record is from RNAcentral.
CACGUAGGGGGCAAGCGUUGUUCGGAAUUACUGGGCGUAAAGGGCGCGUAGGCGGCCUGUUAAGUCGAACGUGAAAUCCCCGGGCUCAACCCGGGAACUGCGUCCGAUACUGGCAGGCUCGAAUCCGGGAGAGGGAUGCGGAAUUCCAGGUGUAGCGGUGAAAUGCGUAGAUAUCUGGAGGAACACCGGUGGCGAAGGCGGCAUCCUGGACCGGCAUUAACGCUGAGGCGCGAAAGCCAGGGGAGCAAACGGG